GUUUAUAUAGUUUAAAAAACAUUACAGUUUCAUUGUAAAAUUGGAAUUAUCCUAUAAAUA
RNAcentral lists this transfer RNA (60 nucleotides) under Arescus labiatus. RNAcentral describes it as "tRNA-Glu". Lineage: Eukaryota; Metazoa; Arthropoda; Insecta; Coleoptera; Chrysomelidae. The record is from RNAcentral.